Molecule: ribosomal RNA, 465 nt
Filed under: Vreelandella stevensii
Lineage: Bacteria; Pseudomonadati; Pseudomonadota; Gammaproteobacteria; Oceanospirillales; Halomonadaceae
Description: partial 16S ribosomal RNA
Rfam family: Bacterial small subunit ribosomal RNA
Source: RNAcentral
CCUACGGGAGGCAGCAGUGGGGAAUAUUGGACAAUGGGGGGAACCCUGAUCCAGCCAUGCCGCGUGUGUGAAGAAGGCCCUCGGGUUGUAAAGCACUUUCAGUGAGGAAGAACGCCUGGUGGUUAAUACCCAUCAGGAAAGACAUCACUCACAGAAGAAGCACCGGCUAACUCCGUGCCAGCAGUCGCGGUAAUACGGAGGGUGCGAGCGUUAAUCGGAAUUACUGGGCGUAAAGCGCGCGUAGGUGGCUUGAUAAGCCGGUUGUGAAAGCCCCGGGCUCAACCUGGGAACGGCAUCCGGAACUGUCAAGCUAGAGUGCAGGAGAGGAAGGUAGAAUUCCCGGUGUAGCGGUGAAAUGCGUAGAGAUCGGGAGGAAUACCAGUGGCGAAGGCGGCCUUCUGGACUGACACUGACACUGAGGUGCGAAAGCGUGGGUAGCAAACAGGAUUAGAUACCCCAGUAGUC